AUGAACAAGGGCAUGAUAUCAAAUGCUAAGAAGUUUAUCAAGCAAGCGCAUGAAAAGAAGGUGAAAUAUGAUUGUGCCGUGAGGAACUCCCUGGGUGUGGGUGAUGUCAUUCAGUUCUUGUAUGGAGAAUAUGGCAUGGAUGCUGUUUGGAUUGAACCACAGAAAUUGGACAACCUGAGGCUGAGUUUGACAAUAGUUUCAGAAAUUAGAAGCUGGCAGAUUACAUGGCCCAUGCCUGUCAACCUCAAGCGGCCUAUCUGGAAUGCUCAAAAGACUUUCAAGAUUGAUUUGAGAAGACCUUCUGACAUGCACCCGAUGGAAAUUGUGGAAGCAAUAGAUAAGUUGCAGGAAAGACACCUCUACACCAGGACUGACGAAGGGACGCAGCUUUGUCUCUAG
RNAcentral lists this ribosomal RNA (399 nucleotides) under Triticum aestivum (bread wheat). Its description in RNAcentral is "partial small subunit ribosomal RNA". The record is from RNAcentral. Lineage: Eukaryota; Viridiplantae; Streptophyta; Magnoliopsida; Poales; Poaceae.